UACAGAGGGUGCUAGCGUUGUUCGGAAUCAUUGGGCGUAAAGGGCGUGUAGGCGGUUUGUUAAGUCAUGUGUGAAAUCCCUCGGCUCAACCGGGGAACGACGCAUGAAACUGGCAAGCUAGAGUACCAAAGAGGGGGGUGGAAUUCCCGGUGUAGCGGUGAAAUGCGUAGAUAUUGGGAGGAACACCAGUGGCGAAGGCGGCUCACUGGACCGGUUCUGACGCUGAGGCGCGAAAGCGUGGGGAGCAAACGGG
This 253-nucleotide ribosomal RNA is filed under the name uncultured bacterium. RNAcentral describes it as "partial 16S ribosomal RNA". It matches the Rfam family "Bacterial small subunit ribosomal RNA", at positions 524 to 776 of the family's 1533-position model. The record is from RNAcentral.